This is a long non-coding RNA of Octopus sinensis (East Asian common octopus), 97 nucleotides long. RefSeq lists it as uncharacterized. Lineage: Eukaryota; Metazoa; Mollusca; Cephalopoda; Octopoda; Octopodidae. The transcript is spliced from 3 exons. The record is from RefSeq and is a predicted model, not a curated record.
CAUAUAUACAUAUAAAGAUAUUUAUAUAAAUUUAAAUAGAGGUUAAAUUAGCCUCAUUAAGGGAUAGUAAUAUCCAAUGAAAUACUGGUUCGUUACU